CUCAGUCGAAGAUGAACAAGAACUUUCUAACUGGAGACACAGCAACUGCAUUUAAAAAGCUGAUUGGUAGAUAUUACUGGGCAGACGAUAAUAUUGUGGUGAAGCAUCUGAUCGAAGUACACGAGCAAUUCUGUGGGAAAGAUUGCCCUUUAGAGAAGUCUAAUACAGAGUCAGAGAAAGGACACCUGGGUAUCGGUCCAGAGGAAUCCGAUGCAAUCAGUCCACACAGAUCAGAGACACUACAGAGAGCUGAAGAAUGCUGUGCAUCCACAGAAGAUCCAGAGAAGUUCAUUUCUUUACAAAUGGAAGUGGAAGAUGGAACAGAGUCAGUGGAUGAAGACAGCAGUGGAGAAAGUGAUCCGGAUAUGGAAUCUGAAACAGGAAUAGAAAGUGGAGAGAAUCAACCUCCAAAACAAUUUAAAGCAUCAACAAAAAACAGAAAAAUGGGCAUUCUGUGGGCAACUAAGUCAUUUCAAGAUUGGCAUGAAGAGUGUUUUGGUGAGAAACUGGACCUGAGACUUGUUAGUCCUUCUAAGCUGUCCAGUCUUCUGUGUAGAUUUUACUGCGAGGUCAAGGCCAAACCGACCAGGAAACACCCCCAGGACACCCUCUAUAAUAGAACGACGCUGAUGUCAAUCAGAUAUUCCCUUAACAAUCAUCUGUCUGACCUAAAUAGACAAAUCGACAUUGUUAGAGGUGAAGAAUUUGAUGAACCAAAUAGAAUAUUGGCAGAGAUUUGUAAGCCAAGGCUAGGAUUAAGAAAACCAACAGGGCAUGCAAAGCUGAUAGAUUGUGCUGACCUGGAGAAAAUUUCAAUUCACCUUCAAGGGGCCUAUAAAUCCCCUGUGAUCUUGCUUCAAGCAGUGUGGUAUUUACUGUCUUUACAUUUUGUAACACGCAAUACGAAACUUCAUCAGCAUCUAAAAAUAAAUAGUUUCGAGUUCAAAACAGAUCAAAAUGGGGAAUAUGCAAUUGUCAAGAGUGAAACUAUGAAGAAAGAACACUGCAGUCAUCGGGCCCUGGGGGUGCAUAUUCACAAGCGAAUGUAUGCCCUGGAGACUGAUAGAGGACUCUGUCCAGUGAAGCUCCUUAAACUGAUGAUAAAGAAAACAGACAAAAAUGCCACUCUACUCUUCAAUAAGUACAGAAAACGUACUUCGCCAGGUGCACGAAAAUGGUAUUUAGCUUCUCCUUUUCGAAGUGAAAUAUUGUCAUCAACACUGCAUAAUUUGUGCAAGGACGCAGGUGUCAAUACAAAGUACUCAUUUCAGUGCCUUAGAGAGACUGCCAUCACAUACAUAAGUGAUCAAGGAUUUGAUCCACAACAUUUGAUGAAUAAAGCUCUCCUCCAUAACAAGGGCAAUGUUAGAUGAAAGUAGGACGUUAGCUUAUAAGAGGGCAAUGUCAGAUGAUAUUAGAGCAAUGUUAGAUGAUGAACGGGCAAUAUUAAAUGAUGACAGGGCAAUGUUAGAUGAUGACAGGGAAAUGUUAGAUGAUGACAGGGAAAUGUUAGAUGAUAUCAGGGCAAUGUUAGAUGAUAACAGUGCAGUGUAAGAUGAUGACAGGGCAAUGUUAGAUGAUGACAGGGAAAUGUUAGAUGAUGACAGGGAAAUGUUAGAUGAUAUCAGGGCAAUGUAAGAUGAUAACAGGGCAAUGUUAGAUGAUGACAGGGAAAUGUUAGAUGAUAUCAGGGCAAUGUUAGAUGAUAACAGGGCAAAGUUAAAUGACAACAGGGCAAUGCUAGAUGAUAACAGGGCAAUGUUAGAUGAUAACAGCCUUACAGGGCAAUGUUAGAUGAUAACAUGACAAUGUUAGAUGAUAACAAGACAAUGUCAGAUUAUAACAGGGCAAUGUCAUAUGAUAACAAGACAAUGUCAGAUUAUAACAGGGCAAUGUCAUAUGAUAACAGACCAAUGUUUAACAGGGUAAUAAUACAUGUAGAUGAUAACAUUACAAUGUUAGAUGAUAACAAGACAAUGUCAGAUUAUAACAGGGCAAUGUCAUAUGAUAACAGAGCAAUGUUUAACAGGGUAAAUAUACAUGUAGAUGAUAACAUGACAAUGUUAGAUGAUAACAGGGCAAUGUCAGAUAAUAACAUUAAUUGUCUCAUGUGAAGUUCACUGCAUACAAUGUAUGCUUGAUUAGUUGUGUAUAUUAAAGCCUUGUAGACAGAGUCAUUAAAAUACUAUCUAUCAAACACUUUCUGAAUCUCUAAGAGCGAGAAUGCACAUUUACUUUAAUUGUUAUUAUAUAAUGGAAAUGGAAAGGUUUUAAAUAAUUUCUGUAUCACUUCAUACUCAUGAUCAUUGA
Molecule: RNA transcript, 2310 nt
Organism: Saccostrea cuccullata (small rock oyster)
Lineage: Eukaryota; Metazoa; Mollusca; Bivalvia; Ostreida; Ostreidae
Exons: 7
Source: RefSeq, a predicted model, not a curated record